This 166-nucleotide ribosomal RNA is filed under the name Cladosporium cladosporioides. RNAcentral describes it as "5.8S ribosomal RNA". It matches the Rfam family "5.8S ribosomal RNA". Rfam says of the family: 5.8S ribosomal RNA (5.8S rRNA) is a component of the large subunit of the eukaryotic ribosome. The record is from RNAcentral. Lineage: Eukaryota; Fungi; Ascomycota; Dothideomycetes; Cladosporiales; Cladosporiaceae.
AUAAAUUAAAACUUUUAACAACGGAUCUCUUGGUUCUGGCAUCGAUGAAGAACGCAGCGAAAUGCGAUAAGUAAUGUGAAUUGCAGAAUUCAGUGAAUCAUCGAAUCUUUGAACGCACAUUGCGCCCCCUGGUAUUCCGGGGGGCAUGCCUGUUCGAGCGUCAUUU